UACAGAGACGGCAAGCGUUGCUCGGAUUCAUUGGGCGUAAAGGGUGCGUAGGCGGUUGGCUAAGUCGGAUGUGAAAUCUCGUGGCCCAACCACGAGCGGUCAUUCGAAACUAGUCGGCUUGAGGGCUGGAGAGGAGACUGGAAUGGUCGGUGUAGCGGUGAAAUGCGUAGAGAUCGACCAGAACACCGGUGGCGAAGGCGGGUCUCUGGACAGUUCCUGACGCUGAGGCACGAAAGCCAGGGGAGCAAACGGG
This 253-nucleotide ribosomal RNA is filed under the name uncultured bacterium. RNAcentral's name for it is "partial 16S ribosomal RNA". It matches the Rfam family "Bacterial small subunit ribosomal RNA", at positions 524 to 776 of the family's 1533-position model. The record is from RNAcentral.